Long non-coding RNA from Uranotaenia lowii, 366 nucleotides. RefSeq lists it as uncharacterized. The record is from RefSeq and is a predicted model, not a curated record. NCBI's taxonomy places the organism in Eukaryota, Metazoa, Arthropoda, Insecta, Diptera, Culicidae. The transcript is spliced from 2 exons.
UUGGCGGUUGAUGUUUGUUGCAGUUACUCGAAAAAUUUAUCACCAUCUCCGAUACUAAUGGUGGCACAAAUGAUGUUUCCAAGACCUAUUUAAUCAAGCAGAACCAUGCUCGAGAAUGAAAACAUCGAAUUGUCUGGAAAUGAUGCUGCAGCAGUUCCGGUGUGUUGGCCAUUCUGCUCGAGCAGCUCGGAUUUUUUUAAACUCAGGACAAACGGCCGAAGGGUACAUACAACUAAUCCCACACAAGGAGUCCAUUGCCCGGAAUGAUAGUGGAUUGGAUUCUGUUUAUUUUUUUUUAAGUUUAAAUUUUGUUUUUGUGUUGUUUUUAUUUUAACCUUAAAAUAAAGAAAACUUUAAAACUUUUCA